UACGGAGGGGGCUAGCGUUAUUCGGAAUUACUGGGCGUAAAGCGCACGUAGGCGGACUGGAAAGUUGGGGGUGAAAGCCCAGGGCUCAACCCUGGAACUGCCUCCAAAACUCCCAGUCUUGAGGUCGAGAGAGGUGAGUGGAAUUCCGAGUGUAGAGGUGAAAUUCGUAGAUAUUCGGAGGAACACCAGUGGCGAAGGCGGCUCACUGGCUCGAUACUGACGCUGAGGUGCGAAAGCGUGGGGAGCAAACAGG
Molecule: ribosomal RNA, 253 nt
Filed under: uncultured bacterium
Lineage: Bacteria
Description: partial 16S ribosomal RNA
Rfam family: Bacterial small subunit ribosomal RNA
Source: RNAcentral